UGUAUCAGUUGAACUGGGGGAGCAAAUGUGGAAGAAGGUGCCAAAUCACAGGAGCAGCUGGCUUCACCACUUCCUACCUCGACAGAACAAGAGUUCCUCCUUAUGCACAAUGGAAGCCGUCACUCACCAAGACAUAACAGCAGCUACACGUACUGGUCAACCUUUCUAUGAAUUGAGAAGAACAAGUGAAUGAUGUGUCAAUACAUCAGAGAGGAUCAAGAUGGAACAUAUCACCUUGGGGUGCUUAUUGAAGUGAGCUGUUUGCAUUGUUUCUGACUCUGGCAGGAAAAAUGAAAUGGGAUUACUUCCUAAAUAAACUCUGCUACGGAAACAAUCAC
Molecule: long non-coding RNA, 338 nt
Organism: Canis lupus familiaris (dog)
Lineage: Eukaryota; Metazoa; Chordata; Mammalia; Carnivora; Canidae
Exons: 3
Source: RefSeq, a predicted model, not a curated record